AUUGAAUUAGCCAUCUUGUCUCCUAGGCCCUGGAACGUCUUUGAAACUCCCUGGAACUAAUCAGACAGGAGGGCCUAGUCAGGCUGUUAGGCCAAUCACACAAGCUGGAAGACCCAUUACAGGUUUCCUCAGGCCCAGCACACAGAGUGGAAGGCCAGGCACUAUGGAACAGGCUAUCAGAACACCCAGAACCGCCUACACAGCCCGCCCUAUCACCAGCUCCUCCGGAAGAUUUGUCAGGCUGGGAACGGCUUCCAUGCUUACAAGUCCUGAUGGACCAUUUAUAAAUUUAUCUAGACUGAAUUUAACAAAAUAUUCCCAGAAACCUAAGUUGGCAAAGGCUUUGUUUGAGUAUAUCUUUCAUCAUGAAAAUGAUGUUAAGACUCAAAAUCCUUUCCUUCAAGUGAAAUCUUAUCUAGACCCUAAUAUGUAAAACAGACAAAAGGCUUUGGAUCUGGCUGCCCUCUCCACAGAGCAUUCUCAGUACAAGGACUGGUGGUGGAAAGUACAGAUUGGAAAAUGUUACUACAGGUUGGGAAUGUAUCGUGAAGCAGAAAAACAGUUUAAAUCAGCCCUGAAGCAGCAGGAAAUGGUAGAUACAUUUCUG
Molecule: small RNA, 607 nt
Filed under: Pongo abelii (Sumatran orangutan)
Lineage: Eukaryota; Metazoa; Chordata; Mammalia; Primates; Hominidae
Description: retained intron
Source: RNAcentral